CUGGUUGAUCCUGCCAGUAGUCAUAUGCUUGUCUCAAAGAUUAAGCCGUGCAUGUGUAAGUAUGAACUAAUUCAGACUGUGAAACUGCGAAUAGCUCAUUAAAUUAGUUAUAGUUUGUUUGAUGGUAUCUGCUACUCGGAUAACCGUAGUAAUCCUAGAGCUAAUAUGUGCAACAAAACCCCGACUUCUGGAAGGGAUGCAUUUAUUAGAUAAAAGGUCGACGCGGGCUCUGCCCGUUACUCUGAUGAUUCAUGAUAACUCGACGAAUCGCACGGCCUUAAUGCCGGCGACGCAUCAUUCAAAUUUCUGCCCUAUCAACUUUCGAUGGUAGGAUAAAGGCCUACCAUGGUGGUGACGGGUGACGGAGAAUUAGGGUUCGAUUUCGGAGAGGGAGCUUGAGAAACGGCUACCACAUCCAAGGAAGGUAGCAGGCGCACAAAUUACCCAAUCCUGACACAGGGAGGUAGUGACAAUAAAUAACAAUACCGGGCUCUUUGAGUCUGGUAAUUGGAAUGAGUACAAUCUAAAUCCCUUAACGAGGAUCCAUUGGAGGGUAAGUCUGGUGCCAGCAGCUGCGGUAAUUCCAGCUUCCAAUAGCAUAUAUUUAAGUUGUUGCAGUCAAAAGCUCGUAGUUGGACCUUGGGUUGGGUCGACCGGUCCGCCUAGGGGUGUGCACCUGUCGUCUCGUCCCUUCUGCCGGCGAUGCGCUCCUAGCCUUAACUGGCCGGGUCGUGCCUCCAGCGCUGUUACUUUGAAGAAAUUAGAGUGCUCAAAGCAAGCUUACGCUCUGUAUACAUUAGCAUUAAGGUCUAACCCGCCUCUAUUAAGCUUUGUUAAUUCUUAAUCCG
Molecule: non-coding RNA, 848 nt
Filed under: Ricinus communis (castor bean)
Lineage: Eukaryota; Viridiplantae; Streptophyta; Magnoliopsida; Malpighiales; Euphorbiaceae
Description: Eukaryotic small subunit ribosomal RNA
Rfam family: Eukaryotic small subunit ribosomal RNA
Source: Rfam by way of RNAcentral